GCGAAGGUGGCGGAAUUGGUAGACGCGCUAGCUUCAGGUGUUAGUGUCCUUACGGACGUGGGGGUUCAAAGUCCCCCCCCUCGCACCA
Molecule: transfer RNA, 88 nt
Filed under: Salmonella enterica subsp. enterica serovar Agona
Lineage: Bacteria; Pseudomonadati; Pseudomonadota; Gammaproteobacteria; Enterobacterales; Enterobacteriaceae
Also listed under: 2 other names
Description: tRNA-Leu
Rfam family: tRNA
About the family: Transfer RNA (tRNA) molecules are approximately 80 nucleotides in length. Their secondary structure includes four short double-helical elements and three loops (D, anti-codon, and T loops).
Source: RNAcentral